Molecule: transfer RNA, 59 nt
Filed under: Pseudoterranova decipiens sensu lato Antarctica
Lineage: Eukaryota; Metazoa; Nematoda; Chromadorea; Rhabditida; Anisakidae
Description: tRNA-Met
Source: RNAcentral
AAUAAGAUAGGAUAAAUUAGUCCGAGAGGUCCAUACCCUCUAGGUGUUUUCUCUUAUUG